UACAGAGGUGGCAAGCGUUGUUCGGAAUUACUGGGCGUAAAGGGCGCGUAGGCGGUUCGAUAAGUCCCGUGUGAAAUCCCUCGGCUCAACUGAGGAAUGGCACGGGAAACUGACGGGCUGGAGUUCGGCAGGGGAGACUGGAAUUCCUGGUGUAGCGGUGAAAUGCGCAGAUAUCAGGAGGAACACCGGUGGCGAAGGCGGGUCUCUGGGCCGAUACUGACGCUGAGGAGCGAAAGCGUGGGGAGCGAACAGG
This 253-nucleotide ribosomal RNA is filed under the name uncultured bacterium. Its description in RNAcentral is "partial 16S ribosomal RNA". It matches the Rfam family "Bacterial small subunit ribosomal RNA", at positions 524 to 776 of the family's 1533-position model. The record is from RNAcentral.